This 620-nucleotide ribosomal RNA is filed under the name uncultured bacterium. Its description in RNAcentral is "bacterial SSU rRNA". It matches the Rfam family "Bacterial small subunit ribosomal RNA", at positions 441 to 1073 of the family's 1533-position model. The record is from RNAcentral.
UGGGAAGAAUAAAUGACGGUACCAUUUAUAAGGUCCGGCUAACUACGUGCCAGCAGCCGCGGUAAUACGUAGGGACCAAGCGUUGUUCGGAUUUACUGGGCGUAAAGGGCGCGUAGGCGGCGUGUCAAGUCAAUUGUGAAAUCUCCGAGCUUAACUCGGAACUGCCAAUUGAUACUGAUGUGCUAGAGUGCAGAAAGGGCAAUCGGAAUUCUUGGUGUAGCGGUGAAAUGCGUAGAUAUCAAGAGGAACACCUGAGGCGAAGGCGGGUUGCUAGGCUGACACUGACGCUGAGGCGCGAAAGCUAGGGUAGCAAACGGGAUUAGAUACCCCGGUAGUCCUAGCCCUAAACGAUGAAUACUUGGUGUCUGGAGUAAUUUAAUUCUCCGGGUGCCGUCGCUAACGUUUUAAGUAUUCCGCCUGGGGAGUACGCACGCAAGUGUGAAACUCAAAGGAAUUGACGGGGACCCGCACAAGCGGUGGAGCAUGUGGUUUAAUUCGACGCAACGCGAAGAACCUUACCUGGACUAGAAUGCCUUUGACCGUUCCGUAACGGGAACUUCCUGAGCAAUCAGGCAAAGUGCAAGGUGCUGCAUGGCUGUCGUCAGCUCGUGUCGUGAGAU